GAUGAACGCUGGCGGCAUGCCUAAUACAUGCAAGUCGAACGAGAGGAAGGAAAGCUUGCUUUUCUGAAUCUAGUGGCGAACGGGUGAGUAACACGUAGGUAACCUGCCCAUGUGCCUGGGAUAACUUCUGGAAACGGAUGCUAGAACCGGAUAGAUAGCAGACAAGCAUUUGACUGCUAUUAAAGUGGCUAAGGCCAUGAACAUGGAUGGACCUGCGGUGCAUUAGCUAGUUGGUGAGGUAACGGCCCACCAAGGCGACGAUGCAUAGCCGGCCUGAGAGGGCGGACGGCCACAUUGGGACUGAGACACGGCCCAAACUCCUACGGGAGGCAGCAGUAGGGAAUUUUCGUCAAUGGGGGGAACCCUGAACGAGCAAUGCCGCGUGAGUGAGGAAGGUCUUCGGAUCGUAAAGCUCUGUUGUAAGAGAAAAACGACAUUCAUAGGGAAUGAUGAGUGAGUGAUGGUAUCUUACCAGAAAGUCACGGCUAACUACGUGCCAGCCGCCGCAGUAA
RNAcentral lists this ribosomal RNA (512 nucleotides) under uncultured bacterium. Its description in RNAcentral is "partial 16S ribosomal RNA". It matches the Rfam family "Bacterial small subunit ribosomal RNA", at positions 28 to 523 of the family's 1533-position model. The record is from RNAcentral.